RNAcentral lists this ribosomal RNA (486 nucleotides) under uncultured bacterium. Its description in RNAcentral is "partial 16S ribosomal RNA". It matches the Rfam family "Bacterial small subunit ribosomal RNA", at positions 28 to 507 of the family's 1533-position model. The record is from RNAcentral.
GAUGAACGCUGGCGGCGUGCCUAAUACAUGCGAGUCGAACGCUGGAGAUCUAGCUUGCUAGAUCGAAGGAGUGGCGAACGGGUGAGUAAUACAUAAGCAACCUACCCACGAAGACUGGGAUAAUCUCUGGAAACGGGGACUAAUACCGGAUAGGUAAUCGGAAGGCAUCUUCUGGUUAUUAAAGGUUAAAAACACUGGUGGAUGGGCUUAUGGCGCAUUAGUUAGUUGGUGAGGUAACGGCCCACCAAGACGAUGAUGCGUAGCCGGCCUGAGAGGGUGAACGGCCACAUUGGGACUGAGACACGGCCCAGACUCCUACGGGAGGCAGCAGUAGGGAAGUUUCGGCAAUGGGGGCAACCCUGACCGAGCAACGCCGCGUGAGUGAAGACGGCCUUCGGGUUGUAAAGCUCUGUUGUAAGGGAAGAACGGUAGAUAGAGAAUAUCUAAGUGACGGUACCUUACCAGAAAGCCACGGCUAACUACGUG